UGCCAUCAGCCGCGGUAAUACGGAGGGAGCUAGCGUUGUUCGGAAUUACUGGGCGUAAAGCGCGCGUAGGCGGAUUGAUUAGUCAGAGGUGAAAUCCCAGGGCUCAACCCUGGAACUGCCUUUGAUACUGUCAGUCUAGAGACCGAGAGAGGUGAGUGGAAUUUCCAGUGUAGAGGUGAAAUUCGUAGAUAUUGGAAAGAACACCAGUGGCGAAGGCGGCUUUCUGGACCGAUACUGACGCUGAGACGCGAAAGCGUGGGGAGCAAACAGGAUUAGAUA
Molecule: ribosomal RNA, 279 nt
Filed under: uncultured bacterium
Lineage: Bacteria
Description: partial 16S ribosomal RNA
Rfam family: Bacterial small subunit ribosomal RNA
Source: RNAcentral